CAUUAAAAGUAUAUAGUUAUACAUUCUGUGUAUCGACUAAAUAUACCCAUUCUGAGUACCUUGCCUGUUGCUUCCAUGGAGCCUGACACAUGUCACUCUGGGGAUUUACAUCCCGAGGGAGCCUCCGUGGAAGGUAAUCAAUUAACUCUUGAAUCCAAUGUCAUCUGUCUGAUAAUGUUUAUAACAAAUGUUAAAACUUUCAACAACGGAUCUCUUGGUUCUCGCAUCGAUGAAGAACGCAGCGAAAUGCGAUAAGUAGUGUGAAUUGCAGAAUUCAGUGAAUCAUCGAAUCUUUGAACGCACAUUGCGCCUCCUGGUAUUCCGGGAGGCAUGCCUGUUCGAGCGUCAUUAAAUACCACUCAAGCUCUUCUGCUUGGUCAUGGAAGAAGAGAAUGCUUGCAUCCUCUCUUCUGAAAUCGAACGGCGGACUGCCUCAUGUGCCUCGCGUAGUAAGUUCAUCUUUUCGCUUGGAGUGUGAGAUAGUCUCGCCAUCAACCCCCAUACUUCUAAGGUUGACCUCGGAUCAGGUAGGGAUACCCGCUGAACUUAAGCAUAUCAAUA
RNAcentral lists this ribosomal RNA (561 nucleotides) under Wilcoxina sp. R3193. Its description in RNAcentral is "eukaryotic LSU rRNA". The stretch from base 195 to 348 matches the Rfam family "5.8S ribosomal RNA". Lineage: Eukaryota; Fungi; Ascomycota; Pezizomycetes; Pezizales; Pyronemataceae. The record is from RNAcentral.